Molecule: unclassified non-coding RNA, 203 nt
Filed under: Hevea brasiliensis (rubber tree)
Lineage: Eukaryota; Viridiplantae; Streptophyta; Magnoliopsida; Malpighiales; Euphorbiaceae
Source: RNAcentral
UUGGGUGCCUCAGUUUCCAUCUCAAAUCCUAUAAUACCAAAACAACCAUUAAGUCCAUUUUCAACGAGAGAUGCUGAUGCAUCGGACUAGUAGUCUGCAAAUUCUCAACAUUGAUAUCAUGAUUACUGCAGUUAUCAUACUAUAAUGAUAACAAUACCCCUUAUCAUUUUGUAACAGCCUCAAGAUUUAUACAAAAGAUUGAA